RNAcentral lists this ribosomal RNA (381 nucleotides) under uncultured prokaryote. RNAcentral's name for it is "partial 16S ribosomal RNA". The record is from RNAcentral.
GCAACGGAAACCAUAACGAGCAUCAUCUUGAUUAAGCUCAUUAGGGUUAGCCUCGGUACGGUCAGGCAUCCACGGCGCUUUAAAAUAGUUGUUAUAGAUAUUCAAAUAACCCUGAAACAAAUGCUUAGGGAUUUUAUUGGUAUCAGGGUUAAUCGUGCCAAGAAAAGCGGCAUGGUCAAUAUAACCAGUAGUGUUAACAGUCGGGAGAGGAGUGGCAUUAACACCAUCCUUCAUGAACUUAAUCCACUGUUCACCAUAAACGUGACGAUGAGGGACAUAAAAAGUAAAAAUGUCUACAGUAGAGUCAAUAGCAAGGCCACGACGCAAUGGAGAAAGACGGAGAGCGCCAACGGCGUCCAUCUCGAAGGAGUCGCCAGCGAU